This 428-nucleotide ribosomal RNA is filed under the name Bacteroidota bacterium. Its description in RNAcentral is "Bacteroidetes bacterium partial 16S ribosomal RNA". It matches the Rfam family "Bacterial small subunit ribosomal RNA", at positions 355 to 776 of the family's 1533-position model. The record is from RNAcentral. Lineage: Bacteria; Pseudomonadati; Bacteroidota.
UAGGGAAUCUUCCGCAAUGGACGCAAGUCUGACGGAGCAACGCCGCGUGAGUGAAGAAGGAUUUCGGUUCGUAAAACUCUGUUGUUAGAGAAGAACAGCGCAUAGAGUAACUGUUAUGCGUGUGACGGUAUCUAACCAGAAAGCCACGGCUAACUACGUGCCAGCAGCCGCGGUAAUACGUAGGUCCCGAGCGUUGUCCGGAUUUAUUGGGCGUAAAGCGAGCGCAGGCGGUUAGAAAAGUCUGAAGUGAAAGGCAGUGGCUCAACCAUUGUAGGCUUUGGAAACGGUUUAACUUGAGUGCAGAAGGGGAGAGUGGAAUUCCAUGUGGAGCGGUGAAAUGCGUAGAUAUAUGGAGGAACACCGGUGGCGAAAGCGGCUCUCUGGUCUGUAACUGACGCGGAGGCUCGAAAGCGUGGGGAGCGAACAGG